GGGCCGGUAGCUCAGUUGGGAGAGCGCCUGAAUGGCAUUCAGGAGGUCGUGGGUUCGAUUCCCUUCCGGUCCACCA
This 76-nucleotide transfer RNA is filed under the name Bacillota bacterium. Its description in RNAcentral is "tRNA-Ala". It matches the Rfam family "tRNA". Rfam says of the family: Transfer RNA (tRNA) molecules are approximately 80 nucleotides in length. Their secondary structure includes four short double-helical elements and three loops (D, anti-codon, and T loops). Lineage: Bacteria; Bacillati; Bacillota. The record is from RNAcentral. RNAcentral also lists the same sequence under 1 other name.